UGGGGAAUAUUGGACAAUGGGGGGAACCCUGAUCCAGCCAUGCCGCGUGUGUGAAGAAGGCCUUAUGGUUGUAAAGCACUUUAAGCGAGGAGGAGGCUCUCUUGGUUAAUACCCAAGAAGAGUGGACGUUACUCGCAGAAUAAGCACCGGCUAACUCUGUGCCAGCAGCCGCGGUAAUACAGAGGGUGCGAGCGUUAAUCGGAUUUACUGGGCGUAAAGCGUGCGUAGGCGGCUUUUUAAGUCGGAUGUGAAAUCCCCGAGCUUAACUUGGGAAUUGCAUUCGAUACUGGGAAGCUAGAGUAUGGGAGAGGAUGGUAGAAUUCCAGGUGUAUCGGUGAAAUGCGUAGAGAUCUGGAGGAAUACCGAUGGCGAAGGCAGCCAUCUGGCCUAAUACUGACGCUGAGGUACGAAAGCAUGGGGAGCAAACAGG
This 430-nucleotide ribosomal RNA is filed under the name Bacillota bacterium. RNAcentral's name for it is "Firmicutes bacterium partial 16S ribosomal RNA". It matches the Rfam family "Bacterial small subunit ribosomal RNA", at positions 355 to 776 of the family's 1533-position model. The record is from RNAcentral. Lineage: Bacteria; Bacillati; Bacillota.